This 458-nucleotide ribosomal RNA is filed under the name Klebsiella pneumoniae. RNAcentral describes it as "bacterial SSU rRNA". It matches the Rfam family "Bacterial small subunit ribosomal RNA", at positions 1 to 453 of the family's 1533-position model. The record is from RNAcentral. RNAcentral also lists the same sequence under 1 other name. Lineage: Bacteria; Pseudomonadati; Pseudomonadota; Gammaproteobacteria; Enterobacterales; Enterobacteriaceae.
ACUUAAAUUGAAGAGUUUGAUCAUGGCUCAGAUUGAACGCUGGCGGCAGGCCUAACACAUGCAAGUCGAGCGGUAGCACAGAGAGCUUGCUCUCGGGUGACGAGCGGCGGACGGGUGAGUAAUGUCUGGGAAACUGCCUGAUGGAGGGGGAUAACUACUGGAAACGGUAGCUAAUACCGCAUAACGUCGCAAGACCAAAGUGGGGGACCUUCGGGCCUCAUGCCAUCAGAUGUGCCCAGAUGGGAUUAGCUAGUAGGUGGGGUAACGGCUCACCUAGGCGACGAUCCCUAGCUGGUCUGAGAGGAUGACCAGCCACACUGGAACUGAGACACGGUCCAGACUCCUACGGGAGGCAGCAGUGGGGAAUAUUGCACAAUGGGCGCAAGCCUGAUGCAGCCAUGCCGCGUGUGUGAAGAAGGCCUUCGGGUUGUAAAGCACUUUCAGCGGGGAGGAAGGCG